Molecule: long non-coding RNA, 2369 nt
Organism: Vigna angularis (adzuki bean)
Lineage: Eukaryota; Viridiplantae; Streptophyta; Magnoliopsida; Fabales; Fabaceae
Exons: 3
Source: RefSeq, a predicted model, not a curated record
UGUAUCAUUUGUGCGAAACCAGCUCGAAUCAUUUGGGCUUUUCUCCCAACUCUCUCACUUAUGGUUAGGGUUCUUGCGAGAAGAGAAGAAAAAAGGUAGAACCAGACAUGAGAUCAAUGAUGCGAGGUAGAAGGCUGAUCAGACUCUUCACGGCCCAAGAGGAAGCCGGCCCAUAAUGAUGAUCGGACCAGAAUGUUGAUCGAACCGAGAAGCGGUUGACGGCUGAAGAGAAGAGAGGUUAGAAUCAGUUGAAGAUUGAUUCGAGAAGCUUCCAAAGUUGUAACUGAUUCUUCCCCCUUUCCCCCUCUCUUUCUUUCUUUUUCUGCCUUUGAACUUUCCCUAUAUAAAGGGAAGUCUUGUAAAGUGAAUAAUACGAGUGGUGGGUGACAGACACCAUUCUUAGGUUUAGAUAGUGCACGGUAGUGGGUGACAGACGCUACCUAGCUUAGGGUUUUCAUUUUCGUCCAGUUUCAUUCUCGUAGUGUAGAUUCUGAUACUCCUGGACUGUUGAUCGAGCAAUCACGGUGGUGACAGCUUGUGAUAUUCUUGGCUUUGCUUCCACGGUGUUUUCUACUUUGUAAUAUGUCGUCUCAGUUUCAGACCAGUAGGCUAUAUACACUCUUCUUCCAAACGUUUCAAAAGCAAAUUUGCGAUUUUGAGAAUACAGUGCAGUAUGAGGAAGUUCUCAAGUGCUAGUUCUUGCUCAUUGUCAAGUCUUGUGAAUAGGAGAAGUUCGUGCUGUGUGCGUUAAAGUUCGGAGCGGUUCUCUUCAAGUUGGCUGAGUAGUUCACGUGCGAUUCAUUUGUCGAAGGAAUGUUCUUUCUAUUCUUAUUUGUAUUUCAUCCUAUUGUAAUUUGUGAACAAUAUUUUAGUAAAAAGGUUAAUCACUAUUUAUAGUGAUUAAUGACUAGACGUAGAAUCUUUUGAUUCAAACCAGGAUAAAAAUCAUUUGUGUGAUUUUUCUACUCCAUACACUCUUUAUAUUUUCUACACAUUAAAGAGUGGACCCAUUAUCAUUUUCACGCCUAUAAAUUAUUUUGGUCGAGUUAGGCCAUGCAUUUACACUUGUUUUUCUUUUUAUCAUUUAUAUUUUACUUACUAUUUCACGAGUUUCUCAUAGUUAUUUAUUUGUGUGGUAAACACUUUGCAGUUAUAUAUGCAAACGUAAAAUUUAAAAAAAUCCAAGUAAAUAAGCAACUGAAUGAUAUGAAAACGAGUAGAAGCUAAGCUAACAUAAUUUUAACUAGCAUAUUUUCAACUUCAGUUUUAUAAAAGUACAAACAGAUUUGGUCCCUCCAUCUUUGAAACUUAUUUGGCACGAAUGAGAGUCAAAGUGACUUUUUUCAACCUGAAAAGCUAUGGAAAGAGCCAAAUGCUGGACAAUGGGUCCAUACAUUAUCCUCAAACGCGAUAGCGUGCAAUAUCCUUCACUAAAUCAUUCAUUAAUGAACUGCAAUUUAUAGCCAUUAGAUUUAGAUUUCGAAAGCUGUCCAUGAACAAUGGUGUUGACUUGGAAAGACUUCAGCAUAAGGAAUUGUUAUAAAAAGCAUGAAUAGUUCAAAAGGUGAUUUUUGCUAAAGAUUAAUUAUAUUCCUCUACAAUUUCAACAUAUCAGGUUCAUUCUCCCCCCUUUGCUCUAUUUAGUUCCAACCUUCGAUUUCGUCCAUGAAUAGAUUUUUUUGCACUAAUUAUUUUUUCAAGAAAUAUUGAACAUGGGGAGUCAGGCAUGGUACUAAUUAACUCGCUGGUUUAAGUACUAUAUUGAAUUCGGAAUUCUUUUUAAAUGGGUUAUCUUUUGUUGUUCUGAACUGUCUAAUUCUGCUUUGGUUUCAAAUGAAUUAUCCUCAAUCUUGGAACCACGUUUUAUGAUUGAAAAAUGAAACUCUUUUACUGCUUUAGUGUUGUAUAUUGAUCAGUGCGUACUUGAUGCUAUUUUUAAUACGUAGUAAGAUAUUUUCUCAUUUUGCUUGUUGUUACGGGUGUAUGGGUCGGGUUUGUAAUUGGUCUCCAACACUGAGUAUUUUUUAUUCCUGGAUUUCUUAUCUGUGUCGCUCAGGUGUUUUUGUCACAUUUCAUAACCGAAUGGGGUGCUAGGUUGAGUCUCCUAGUCUCAAAUGAAGGCGAGGUCACUUUGGAGGACGUGAUUGAAGAAGAGAAUCUGGUUGAAGUGGAAGUCAAGGCCGAGCCUUAGACCGCUCGUUUGAAUUAGAAGUUUAGAUGUUAGUUUUCAUUCUGACGUUCGAUUAUUAAUUUUGUAAAACCGUUCGUCCCUGCUUCUAUUAUUCUGAUAGUACUGUAUGGAAUCUCUGUAACUAAAGUGUUUUGGCUUUUGAACUUUAAUCUUAGUGUAAAGACUGCAUUGUUUACUG